Molecule: ribosomal RNA, 94 nt
Filed under: uncultured bacterium
Lineage: Bacteria
Description: partial 16S ribosomal RNA
Source: RNAcentral
AAGUCAGUGACCCAACCACAACGUGAACUUCGUUCGCGUGGAGGGAGCUGCCGAAGGUGGAGCCGGUAACUGGGUGAAGUCGUAACAAGGUAGC